AGUUUUGAUCAUGGCUCGAGGAUAGAACGCUAGCUACGAGGUACUUAACACAUGACAAGUCGGAAGGGGAAACGACAUACGAAAGUCUUGUCUUUUGAUGGGCGUCGACCGGCUACGGGUGAGUAACGCGUAUCCAACCUGCCCACCACUUGGGGAUAACCUUGCGAAAGUAAGACUAAUACCCAAUGAUAUCUCUAGAAGACAUCUGAAAGAGAUUAAAGAUUUAUCGGUGAUGGAUGGGGAUGCGUCUGAUUAGCUUGUUGGCGGGGUAACGGCCCACCAAGGCAACGAUCAGUAGGGGUUCUGAGAGGAAGGUCCCCCACAUUGGAACUGAGACACGGUCCAAACUCCUACGGGAGGCAGCA
This 365-nucleotide ribosomal RNA is filed under the name uncultured bacterium. Its description in RNAcentral is "bacterial SSU rRNA". It matches the Rfam family "Bacterial small subunit ribosomal RNA", at positions 10 to 353 of the family's 1533-position model. The record is from RNAcentral.